UGCAGUCGAACGGCAGCGCGUCCUUCGGGAUGGCGGCGAGUGGCGAACGGGUGAGUAAAGCAUCGGAACGUGCCCGGUAGUGCGAGAUAGCUCGGCGAAAGCCGGAUUAAUACCGCAUGAGAUCCGAGGAUGAAAGCAGGGGACCCGCAAGGGCCUUGCGCUACUGGAGCGGCCGAUGUCAGAUUAGGUAGUUGGUGAGGUAAAGGCUCACCAAGCCUGCGAUCUGUAGCUGGUCUGAGAGGAUGAUCAGCCACAUCGGGACUGAGACACGGCCCGAACUCCUACGGGAGGCAGCAGUGGGGAAUUUUGGACAAUGGGCGCAAGCCUGAUCCAGCCAUGCCGCGUGCAGGAUGAAGGCCUUCGGGUUGUAAACUGCUUUUGUACGGAACGAAAAGCCUCUCCUUAAUAAAUGGGGGUGAUGACGGUACCGUAAGAAUAAGCACCGGCUAACUACGUGCCAGCA
This 463-nucleotide ribosomal RNA is filed under the name uncultured bacterium. RNAcentral's name for it is "bacterial SSU rRNA". It matches the Rfam family "Bacterial small subunit ribosomal RNA", at positions 56 to 513 of the family's 1533-position model. The record is from RNAcentral.